This 1257-nucleotide long non-coding RNA is filed under the name Salmo salar (Atlantic salmon). RNAcentral describes it as "lncRNA (ENSSSAG00000121829.1)". Lineage: Eukaryota; Metazoa; Chordata; Actinopteri; Salmoniformes; Salmonidae. The record is from RNAcentral.
AAUCCGUGCUGCCCUCAAACCAAGGCACACAGCCUGUUUUUAUUUAUAGGUUGUUUUCACCUUGUCAAUUUCUAAUAAUUUUCUAACAAGUUUUUUCUUUUCUAAGAACAGUUUAUUCAUUCACAUAAAAGUAGUCAUUUUUACUUUUGCGGACAUAUUCAUUUUUUUUACAUUUCUGACCUGGACAAAAUUCACCAAACACUCCCCAAUUGUUUGUGCAGUUCAAGUCUGCAGACAUUUGCUCAUCUCCAGUCCUGCACACACGUUCACAUAUUCCGUCUGUUGCCUGCAUCGCAGUCAUAGUUGUUUUCGUUACCAAUAAUAACUUUGGAAAUGUGUGCGUUUCUAUCAAAGUAAGUGCCUUAUUACGUUAUAAUAGUUUCUGCAUGUCGUGUUAUGUCGUUUCUACUGUAGCAUAAUAUUUGUGUAUAUAUUCCUUAUAACCGAAGACACGCAUGGUAACGUUACUCAUUUCAUAACCUUUAUGGUGUUAUACUCAAUGCUUAGGUAGCUAACUACAUUCUUCUAUUAGCUCUGGAAAACAAUGCUAAUUGUGUCAGAGAAGUAUUAACAUGUGUUGUAUUUUGAAGCCUUAUGACUCCCAAGUGGCGCAGCUGUCUAAGGCACAAUGUCUCAGUGCUGGAGGUGUCACUACAGACACCCAGGUUCAAAUCCAGACUGCGUUUCUAUCAAAGUUGUCCACCUUCCCUGUGGCUGACAUGGUUGCUGUAUGGACAGUGGAGAGGACAUGGAUGUCUCGUUUGUCAUGACACUUUACUGCCAGCUGUUGACAUUUCUUAUUUUGUAUAACGGGUCAUUUAGGAUGGCAGUAGCAUUGUUGAUGAAAUGCAGUCAUCGCAGCAGAACUAGGAAGCAGUCUUGGGAAAAGAGUUGCAAAGAUAGGAUCUGUGCUCCAGUAUUCUCUUAGGGAGUUCUUCUUUACUAUCCCCAUGAGAAGGACUGUCACCAGGAAGGUAUACAUUUCACUAAUUGUGGAAGCCCCCCCCACUUCUGGCUCUCUCUUCUCCUGUAGCUCCAAGGCAUAGCAAUUGGUCUCUGCUACGUCUCCCACCAGCUCCUCUGUCAGAAACAACUUGAAGCACUCUGUCUCAGAUGGAAAUGGCAAGGGGCGUUGCACUCCAGACUGGGACACAUCAAAGCAAACAGCAGGGCCAGGAGGGGUGAAAUGGCUAGCAGCCUUCCAGCUACCACAGAACUCCUGUACUUCAUCCACUGUCGGUCUUCCUCCAUCACCAC